Molecule: long non-coding RNA, 597 nt
Organism: Patella vulgata (common limpet)
Lineage: Eukaryota; Metazoa; Mollusca; Gastropoda; Patellidae
Exons: 5
Source: RefSeq, a predicted model, not a curated record
AAGUGGAUUAGAACCAAUAGAAGGACAGGAUCAAGUAGAUAAUGUUGCACCCACUAAAAAAGUCAUGCUAGAACAACUGAUAUCAGAUGUUAAAGGAAAUGAUAUUACUCUAGGUAAGCCUAUGUUGAAGAAAAGAGGAUACGUUCCUGCACCAUUUUAUCUGGUCACAAAGGACAGUCAAAAAGUAAUGGAGCUGGGUUUUGACAGUCGAUGGAAGGAAAAUCUGUUAAUAACUAAAGCUACUUGUAAAAACAUACCAACAAGAUUAACAGUUCAAGGACUACAGCAAGUAGAAGCUGUGGUAGACGAUGAUAAUUUUAAUCAAAAUAUUUUACCUUCUCUUAAAACACUGGCCAUUUAUUUACCAUCUGGUUUAAAUACCAACAACCUAUCAACACCGUCUGCUGUCAAAAUGUUUAGUGAUAUUCAACUACAUCUUCUGUGUAAUCCAGGAAAACCAGAAAUGGAAGAAUUUAAAGGAUUAUUUAACCCUCAUUUAGUUGACAUGCCACCAAGUAAUUUACAAAAGAAACUGUCUGCAGAUGAACUGUAUGGAAACGUAGCUGUUGGAAUAGCUUACACACAACUUACAGCUAG